CCUACGGGUGGCUGCAGUCGAGAAUCAUUCACAAUGGGGGAAACCCUGAUGGUGCGACGCCGCGUGGGGGAAUGAAGGUCUUCGGAUUGUAAACCCCUGUCAUGUGGGAGCAAAUUAAAAAGAUAGUACCACAAGAGGAAGAGACGGCUAACUCUGUGCCAGCAGCCGCGGUAAUACAGAGGUCUCAAGCGUUGUUCGGAAUCACUGGGCGUAAAGCGUGCGUAGGCUGUUUCGUAAGUCGUGUGUGAAAGGCGCGGGCUCAACCCGCGGACGGCACAUGCAACUGCGGGACUAGAGUGAUGGAGAGGGAACCGGAAUUCUCGGUGUAGCAGUGAAAUGCGUAGAUAUCGAGAGGAACACUCGUGGCGAAGGCGGGUUCCUGGACAUUAACUGACGCUGAGGCACGAAGGCCAGGGGAGCGAAAGGGAUUAGAUACCCUUGUAGUC
Molecule: ribosomal RNA, 446 nt
Filed under: uncultured bacterium
Lineage: Bacteria
Description: partial 16S ribosomal RNA
Rfam family: Bacterial small subunit ribosomal RNA
Source: RNAcentral